This 495-nucleotide ribosomal RNA is filed under the name uncultured bacterium. RNAcentral's name for it is "bacterial SSU rRNA". It matches the Rfam family "Bacterial small subunit ribosomal RNA", at positions 15 to 518 of the family's 1533-position model. The record is from RNAcentral.
GAUUAUGGCUCAGGAUGAACGCUGGCGGCGUGCUUAACACAUGCAAGUCGAACGAAGCAUUCCUAACCCUUCGGGGGAGGGAAUGACUGAGUGGCGGACGGGUGAGUAACGCGUGGGUAACCUGCCUUAUACAGGGGGAUAACAGUUAGAAAUGACUGCUAAUACCGCAUAACCCGCUAGUACCGCAUGGUACAGACGGAAAAGAUUUAUCGGUAUAAGAUGGACCCGCGUCUGAUUAGCUAGUUGGUGAGGUAACGGCCCACCAAGGCGACGAUCAGUAGCCGGCUUGAGAGAGUGAACGGCCACAUUGGGACUGAGACACGGCCCAAACUCCUACGGGAGGCAGCAGUGGGGAAUAUUGCACAAUGGGGGAAACCCUGAUGCAGCAACGCCGCGUGAAGGAAGAAGUAUUUCGGUAUGUAAACUUCUAUCAGCAGGAAAGAAAAUGACGGUACCUGACUAAGAAGCCCCGGCUAACUACGUGCCAGCAGCGGC